GUGGGGAAUUUUGCGCAAUGGGGGCAACCCUGACGCAGCAACGCCGCGUGCGGGACGACGGCCUUCGGGUUGUAAACCGCUUUCAGCAGGGAAGAACCUCUGACGGUACCUGCAGAAGAAGCCCCGGCUAACUACGUGCCAGCAGCCGCGGUAAUACGUAGGGGGCGAGCGUUAUCCGGAAUGAUUGGGCGUAAAGCGCGCGCAGGCGGCCGCUCAAGCGGGACCUCUAACCCCGGGGCUCAACCCCGGGCCGGGUCCCGAACUGGGCGGCUCGAGUGCGGUAGGGGAGAGCGGAAUUCCAAGUGUAGCGGUGAAAUGCGCAGAUAUUUGGAAGAACACCGAUGGCGAAGGCAGCUCUCUGGGCCGUCACUGACGCUGAGGCGCGAAAGCCGGGGGAGCGAACAGGAUUAGAAACCCUAGUAGUCC
Molecule: ribosomal RNA, 426 nt
Filed under: uncultured bacterium
Lineage: Bacteria
Description: bacterial SSU rRNA
Rfam family: Bacterial small subunit ribosomal RNA
Source: RNAcentral